Cottoperca gobio is the source of this 1734-nucleotide long non-coding RNA. RefSeq lists it as uncharacterized. The transcript has 3 exons. The record is from RefSeq and is a predicted model, not a curated record. Lineage: Eukaryota; Metazoa; Chordata; Actinopteri; Perciformes; Bovichtidae.
AAAUACAAUGUAAACACGCAGAGAAGAAAUCCAAUAUGGCGGCCCUUGUACAGUUGGUGCUCACUUUUCUAGGCCCGCCACACCAGCAUGUAUUGCGAUUCCAUGAUGAAGCUAAGGAAGUCCCGACACUACAUUUCCCAGCAUUCACCACAGAUCAACUACAUUUUUCCUUCACUCGGUUGCACAUUUCCAAGUUUCUCCAGCGCUGCCAUCUGAGGAGGGGAGCCCACAGCCGCCCGCUCCCCCGGGACUCCUUGAGAAUACCAUCUCCAAAAAUAGAGGUCUCCUCCUCUCCUUCCAACUCUUCCGCUCUUCCAGAUCCCAGCUCACCUUUCCUUUCUGAAGACAAACGGGCAAAUAUGAACACUUCAACAAAACCCUGUGAGCCAAAUCAAGAGCAAACAUGAAGAAAAUUGUGAUUUAGAUUUUUAAGACUUACCUGAUACUGUGAGAUACAGAACAACACACGUGUAUUCGGCCGUCUGCCGGCUGUGUUUUCUUUCAUGUUUAGAUGAAAGCUAAUUCUCCUUUGGUGCUGAGAUUGUUUCACAAGUUUAAUUUUUGAAAAAUAGUUCCAAACAGAUCGAUCUGUCUGUCCCUUGGGAAAUUUUAUUUAGACAGAAGUGUGGAAAUGUAUAUUCUAGACUUUUCACAAAGAGGUUCACACCUGCCUUUGGCUUCUGAUAGCCCAUCUUCCUUUAUUCAGUCUAAUAAUUCUACUAUUUCUGAUGAGAGAAUGAAUAAACUUUGUAUUGCAUGAGUGUAAUUUAAUCAUUUGGAACAUGUGAUGAUGAAGUGCUGUAUCGUCAGGGUGAUAGUUUGGGUCUCCCUGAGGUGUUUUACUUGCUAUUCUUUAACUCAUCCAUUGCUAAUGUGUGAAAAUGCAACCUACAAGAUUAAUUUACCCUCGUAGAGAAUGCGGUGGUUGGUGUUUCCACCCUGUACUACCUUCUCAUUAGACAUGCUGGGGAUUUAUCUGGUCUGAUUGUCACCUGGUUAUGUUCUUGUCAGCAGUUUUGUAUUUCCUGAAGGGAGUUGAUAUCUGUAAAAGAUUAGAGCAAGACUUUAUCUGUCUAUCUAUCUAGUAUGUAGAGUAUUUCGGAAACACUGUCUUAAAUAACAAUGACUGAUAACACAAAGUAUGAAUAAAGUGCUACAGAAAUAACCACAUAAUUAACAAUGGUCCUUUCUGAGAGCUGAGCCGUAGCAUCUGCCAUGGCACUUAACCAUAACGCUAAAUGUUUCAAUAUAAUUAUAUCCAGUUGGUGUGAUGAUAAGUAAAUCCUCUCAUUAAUUGGGUCUUGGGAUUGUGUAGCUCUUGCUGUCACAGCUAAUUGACCCUAAGAAUGAGGUGGAGUACAUCUGCCUUCAUUUAUGCACAACUCUAAUUAACACCACCACAUCAACCUGAAAGAGACGCAUUUAUGUGUGUGUGUGUGUGUGUGUGUGUGUGUGUGUGUGUGCGUGUGUGUGUGUGUGUAUGUGUGUGUGUGUGUGUGUGUGUGUAUGUGUGUAUGUGUGUAUGUGUGUGUGUGUGUGUGUGUGUGUGUGUGUGUGUGUGUGUAUAUGUGUGUGUGUGACAUGGGAUCUCUUGACCCCAAUCAACCGAGCCAGACUAUAUGGAGAGAGAAGCAACAAUGUAGCACAAUCUACACUCUUUUUAUAUUUCAUCCUAUAUUGUUCAUGGUUAUGGUAUGCAUGUUAUAAAACAUUAAACUCACACUUGCCAAUGUG